RNAcentral lists this ribosomal RNA (460 nucleotides) under uncultured bacterium. RNAcentral's name for it is "partial 16S ribosomal RNA". It matches the Rfam family "Bacterial small subunit ribosomal RNA", at positions 338 to 795 of the family's 1533-position model. The record is from RNAcentral.
CCUACGGGGGGCAGCAGUGAGGAAUAUUGGUCAAUGGACGAGAGUCUGAACCAGCCAAGCAGCGUGAAGGAUGACUGCCCUCUGGGUUGUAAACUUCUUUUAUAAAGGAAUAAAACGAGGCACGUGUGCCUUUUUGCAUGUACUUUAUGAUUAAGGAUCGGCUAACUCCGUGUCAGCAGCCGCGGUAAUACGGAGGAUCCGAGCGUUAUCCGGAUUUAUUGGGUUUAAAGGGAGCGUAGAUGGGUUUGUAAGUCAGUUGGGAAAGUUUGCGGCUCAACCGUAAGAUUGCAAUUGAUACUGGCAGUCUUGAGUACAGGAGAGGUAGGCGGAAUUCGUGGUGUAGCGGUGAAAUGCGUAGAUAUCACGAAGAACCCCGAUUGCGAAGGCAGCUUACUAAACUGUGACUGACAUUGAGGCUCGUAAGUGUGGGUAGCAAACAGGAUUAGAUACCCGAGUAGUC